This 119-nucleotide ribosomal RNA is filed under the name Neogale vison (American mink). The record is from RNAcentral. Lineage: Eukaryota; Metazoa; Chordata; Mammalia; Carnivora; Mustelidae.
GUCUAAGGCCAUACCACCCUGAACGCGCCCGAUCUCGUCUGAUCUCGGAAGCUAAGCAGGGUCGGGCCUGGUUAGUACUUGGAUGGGAGAUUUUCAGAAAGACAUAAACUGCCAAAACU